Molecule: long non-coding RNA, 214 nt
Filed under: Mytilus galloprovincialis (Mediterranean mussel)
Lineage: Eukaryota; Metazoa; Mollusca; Bivalvia; Mytilida; Mytilidae
Source: RNAcentral
GCAAAUUAUUGUAUAACCUAAUAAAUGGAUUCAGGCUACAACAUUUACUAAGAAACUAUGUUUAAGACGAGGACUAUUCGAUAAUGAAGGAGGGGCGACGAACUUCGAAAUAGAAUGACAUGAAAAUGCAAAUUAUCGAGAAAAAAAAAAUGUUUUCAAAAUCGAUAUCCUAAAUCACAAAAUGUUUAAAAUAAUUAUCUUUAUACGCCCGGCA